GAUGAACGCUGGCGGCGUGCCUAAUACAUGCAAGUCGAGCGAACGGACGAGAAGCUCGCUUCUCUGAUGUUAGCGGCGGACGGGUGAGUAACACGUGGAUAACCUACCUAUAAGACUGGGAUAACUUCGGGAAACCGGAGCUAAUACCGGAUAAUAUUUUGAACCGCAUGGUUCAAAAGUGAAAGACGGUCUUGCUGUCACUUAUAGAUGGAUCCGCGCUGCAUUAGCUAGUUGGUAAGGUAACGGCUUACCAAGGCAACGAUGCAUAGCCGACCUGAGAGGGUGAUCAGCCACACUGGAACUGAGACACGGUCCAGACUCCUACGGGAGGCAGCAGUAGGGAAUAUUCCGCAAUGGGCGAAAGCCUGACGGAGCAACGCCGCGUGAGUGAUGAAGGUCUUCGGAUCGUAAAACUCUGUUAUUAGGGAAGAACAUAUGUGUAAGUAACUGUGCACAUCUUGACGGUACCUAAACAGAAAGCCACGGCUAACUACGUG
Molecule: ribosomal RNA, 497 nt
Filed under: uncultured bacterium
Lineage: Bacteria
Description: partial 16S ribosomal RNA
Rfam family: Bacterial small subunit ribosomal RNA
Source: RNAcentral